This 502-nucleotide ribosomal RNA is filed under the name uncultured Glomeromycotina. RNAcentral describes it as "partial small subunit ribosomal RNA". It matches the Rfam family "Eukaryotic small subunit ribosomal RNA", at positions 591 to 1092 of the family's 1831-position model. Lineage: Eukaryota; Fungi; Glomeromycota. The record is from RNAcentral.
CCAAUAGCGUAUAUUAAAGUUGAUGCAGUUAAAAAGCUCGUAGUUGAAUUUCGGGGUUCAUACGUUGGUCGGGCUUUUUGGUCUGUACUUAUGUAAUGGAUUCCUACCUUCUGAAUAACCGGCAUGCUAUUAAUUUGGUGCGCCGAGGAAGCAGGACUGUUACCUUGAAAAAAUUAGAGUGCUUAAAGCAGGCUAUCGCCUGAAUACAUUAGCAUGGAAUAAUGAAAUAGGACGGCAUGGUUCUAUUUUGUUGGUUUCUAGGAUCACCGUAAUGAUUAAUAGGGAUAGUUGGGGGCAUUAGUAUUCAAUUGUCAGAGGUGAAAUUCUUGGAUUUAUUGAAGACUAACUUCUGCGAAAGCAUUUGCCAAGGAUGUUUUCAUUAAUCAGGAACGAAAGUUAGGGGAUCGAAGACGAUCAGAUACCGUCGUAGUCUUAACCAUAAACUAUGCCGACUAGGGAUCGGACGAUGUUAAUUUUUUAAUGACUCGUUCGGCGCCUUACA